RNAcentral lists this long non-coding RNA (1282 nucleotides) under Equus caballus (horse). RNAcentral describes it as "lncRNA (ENSECAG00000050714.1)". Lineage: Eukaryota; Metazoa; Chordata; Mammalia; Perissodactyla; Equidae. The record is from RNAcentral.
UAAGGUCAACAGUGCCAUGCUGAUUGCUACUUCGUGAAGAUCAGCCGUGACUUCAAAUAGUAGAAUGUUCAACUAGCGAUGGCUUAGGCAAUAGAGACAGUUACUUCACAUACCCUCAAGAGGCCCCACUCUCUGUUUUUCUGCUCUAGCAUCCUCAGCUUUUCCUCAGUUGGCUUUUCUUUCUCAUUCCGGUCACCUGAAAGCCACACCAUGGCUUCCACGACUCUGAGCAUCACACAGUAAGGAGUAAGGAAGGAAGGAGGGGAGGAUGCCAUAGUGACAAAAGAUACCUGUGUGCACCUUUCUCCUUUUUAAUCAGGAAUGGAAAACGUUUCCCAAAAUCUCCUCAGGAAACCUCCUUCUAGGUCUGUCAUAACUUUCUCCCAUGCAAGAGUGUCUGAAACAGAGUCAGACGCAAAAGAGGAACGGCGGCUGGCACACAGUCCAUGCUCCACCAACACUGUCAACUGAAGGGAUGAGCAUCAGAGUUGGACAUGAGUGGAAGUGAAUAUUAACUGAAAUCCAGUAAGUUCAUAAAUAGAGGGGUCAUAGAGGCAGCGACAGACCACAGUGUUCCUAGGAUGAAAAAGAUGAGGAGCUGAAGAGAUGGUGCUUAUAUAUCGGAUAAAACCAAGAGCUGACAAGUGGAAGGCUGAGGUCAGCUGCUACAAUGAAAAGUCACGCUAUCUCACCUACAGCCCAUUUCUGAGUCAAGUCUCAUCCCAGAGCCCAUUGACUGAAGGAGAGACCAUGUUCUCUAGAGGAGAGAGUCUGGAACCAAAUCAAGUAAAGAGCUCUGGAGCCAGAGGACCUCCAGGAUUGGUGAAACAGCUCUGCAGCACCAUCGAGGCCCAGGGUCAUCUGCCGUCCACAGCAAGCCUGGGCAUGUUGAUUUCUUCCCUCCGUUUGUCCUCUUCAUGCUCACAAAACCACUGCCAUGUCUCUAGGGCCUCACAUCCUUGCAAGUUUUGCCUCAAGUACCUUUUCUCUUUGGACAACUCUGUUGCCUGAAAUAUAUAAAAAUCAAGUCUGGUUGGCAAGGAAAAUGGGGUGAAUGAUUGCUGGAUAGGCAUCCAGUUCUCCCUGCUUUAACCAAUGUGCCUAGAUUAUGUCCUUAUCUCCAAGUAGUUUUUGUUGCCUAGAGGUCUGGAGCAUCUAAUCUUUGUGGAAAGGGGACAAGGACAGUGAAAAUGAGAAUGUUUUUCAUGUAGUUAAGGUGAUUAAGGCCAUAGAGAUAUAUUUGAAACAAAAUCAUAAUUUUUCUUCCAAAGUGGUACCGAAU